This 395-nucleotide ribosomal RNA is filed under the name Labyrinthulaceae sp. Its description in RNAcentral is "partial small subunit ribosomal RNA". It matches the Rfam family "Eukaryotic small subunit ribosomal RNA", at positions 582 to 975 of the family's 1831-position model. The record is from RNAcentral. Lineage: Eukaryota; Bigyra; Labyrinthulida; Labyrinthulaceae.
AUUCCAGCUCCAAUAGCGUAUAUUAAAGUUGUUGCAGUUAAAAAGCUCGUAGUUGGAUUCCUGGUUAGAGCGGCCGGUCUGGUCCGAAUGGGCUAGUACUUUGAGCUGUCUUUGACCUUCCUUUGGGAGAAUCUGUGUUGUUAUUAAUUUAACAGUGCAGGGGACCCCAAUCGUUUACUGUGAAAAAAUUAGAGUGUUUAAAGCAGGCAUUUGCUGUGAAUACAUUAGCAUGGAAUAAUAAGAUAGGACUUUGGUGCUAUUUUGUUGGUUUGCACACCAAGGUAAUGAUUAACAGGGACAGUUGGGGGUAUUCGUAUUUAAUUGUCAGAGGUGAAAUUCAUGGAUUUAUGAAAGACGAACUACUGCGAAAGCAUUUACCAAGGAUGUUUUCAUUA